GUUGGUAACUUUGACAGAGAGUUAUUAAGCUAAUUAUGCGUUGUUGAUCUUUCUCUUAUCAAAUUAGUUUAUGGAGUCAAUUUAUUGGUUAACAAUAUAUGAGAGCUCAAGUUUACUCAAAAUCUUGUGCAUGGAAUCAAAAAUCUGCUUCUUAAGGGGAAUGCUCUUUUAGAAGAAUAAGGGAUCCACAAAUAAAAUGAUUAAUUACCAACCUAUCAAAUUCGCCAUAUCAAAGAGGAUUCAUUUUGUUUACAUAAUUAGUCAUGGCUUUUCCAAUGAACUCAAGAACUCAUCAUUUAUUAUUCCCAAAAAAUAUUGGAAAACCUCCAAUUAAGCAACAUUACUCGCAGGUGAUGAAAGAGAGAAACAUAACAUAAUAAAAUAUAAAGUUGAAUUUUAUUGGUUUGCUAACUUAAUAAACACAUAGUUUAACCAGGGACACACCCCAGUUCACAUCAAAUAAAUGGGAAAAAUGUGUAUGAUUUAUACUUGACUUAAUUAGAAGCAUAAAUAUAGAAUGACAAACAGAACUUUGGAUCCAGUUUAAGAAAAAUAGAGGUGGAAUGGAGCAAAAAUAAGUCAUGGAUUUUUAGCAAAACCCAUUAUUUACACAUAAGGAGAAGUGG
RNAcentral lists this long non-coding RNA (626 nucleotides) under Elaeis guineensis (African oil palm). RNAcentral's name for it is "long non-coding RNA (EGUI_LNC008644)". The record is from RNAcentral. Lineage: Eukaryota; Viridiplantae; Streptophyta; Magnoliopsida; Arecales; Arecaceae.